GAUCCCAUGGUGUAAUGGUUAGCACACAAGACUCUGACUCCUGCAGUCUGAGUUCAAAUCUCAGUGGGACCU
Transfer RNA from Pelodiscus sinensis (Chinese soft-shelled turtle), 72 nucleotides. It matches the Rfam family "tRNA". Rfam says of the family: Transfer RNA (tRNA) molecules are approximately 80 nucleotides in length. NCBI's taxonomy places the organism in Eukaryota, Metazoa, Chordata, Testudines, Trionychidae. The record is from Rfam.